Molecule: unclassified non-coding RNA, 335 nt
Filed under: soil metagenome
Description: partial contains 5.8S ribosomal RNA, internal transcribed spacer 2, and large subunit ribosomal RNA
Rfam family: 5.8S ribosomal RNA (bases 1-120)
Source: RNAcentral
GAUGAAGAACGUAGCGAAAUGCGAUAAGUAAUGUGAAUUGCAGAAUUCAGUGAAUCAUCGAAUCUUUGAACGCACAUUGCGCCCGCCAGUAUUCUGGCGGGCAUGCCUGUUCGAGCGUCAUUUCAACCAUCAAGCCCCCGGCUUGUGUUGGGGACCUGCGGCUGCCGCAGGCCCUGAAAAGCAGUGGCGGGCUCGCUGUCACACCGAGCGUAGUAGCAUACAUCUCGCUCUGGGCGUGCUGCGGGUUCCGGCCGUUAAACCACCUUCAUAACCCAAGGUUGACCUCGGAUCAGGUAGGAAGACCCGCUGAACUUAAGCAUAUCAAUAAGCGGAGG